Molecule: ribosomal RNA, 497 nt
Filed under: uncultured bacterium
Lineage: Bacteria
Description: partial 16S ribosomal RNA
Rfam family: Bacterial small subunit ribosomal RNA
Source: RNAcentral
GAUGAACGCUGGCGGCGUGCCUAAUACAUGCCAGUCGAGCGAACGGACGAGAAGCUUGCUUUUCUGAUGUUAGCGGCGGACGGGUGAGUAACACGUGGAUAACCUACCUAUAAGACUGGGAUAUCUUCGGGAAACCGGAGCUAAUACCGGAUAAUAUUUUGAACCGCAUGGUUCAAAAGUGAAAGACGGUCUUGCUGUCACUUAUAGAUGGAUCCGCGCUGCAUUAGCUAGUUGGUAAGGUAACGGCUUACCAAGGCAACGAUGCAUAGCCGACCUGAGAGGGUGAUCGGCCACACUGGAACUGAGACACGGUCCAGACUCCUACGGGAGGCAGCAGUAGGGAAUCUUCCGCAAUGGGCGAAAGCCUGACGGAGCAACGCCGCGUGAGUGAUGAAGGUCUUCGGAUCGUAAAACUCUGUUAUUAGGGAAGAACAUAUGUGUAAGUAACUGUGCACAUCUUGACGGUACCUAAUCAGAAAGCCACGGCUAACUACGUG